This 550-nucleotide ribosomal RNA is filed under the name Hepatozoon canis. RNAcentral describes it as "SSU rRNA". It matches the Rfam family "Eukaryotic small subunit ribosomal RNA", at positions 278 to 821 of the family's 1831-position model. Lineage: Eukaryota; Apicomplexa; Hepatozoidae. The record is from RNAcentral.
UGAAAACAGGCGAUAAAUCAUUCAAGUUUCUGACCUAUCAGCUUUCGACGGUAUGGUAUUGGCUUACCGUGGCAGUGACGGUUAACGGGGGAUUAGGGUUCGAUUCCGGAGAGGGAGCCUGAGAAACGGCUACCACAUCUAAGGAAGGCAGCAGGCGCGCAAAUUACCCAAUUCUAACAGUUUGAGAGAGGUAGUAACAAGAAAUAACAAUACAAGGCAGUUAAAAUGCUUUGUAAUUGGAAUGAUAGAAAUUUAAACCCUUUUUAAAGUAUCAAUUGGAGGGCAAGUCUGGUGCCAGCAGCCGCGGUAAUUCCAGCUCCAAUAGCGUAUAUUAAAAUUGUUGCAGUUAAAAAGCUCGUAGUUGAAGUUCUGCUAAAAGUAACCGGUCUGCUUUGAAUAAAAGUGGUAUCUUGGUAUGUAUUUAGCAAUGAUGUCCUUUGAAGUGUUUUUUACUUUAUUGUAAUAAAGCAUAUUCAGGACUUUUACUUUGAGAAAAUUAGAGUGUUUCUAGCAGGCCAACGCUUUGAAUACUGCAGCAUGGAAAUAAUAA